Molecule: ribosomal RNA, 460 nt
Filed under: uncultured bacterium
Lineage: Bacteria
Description: partial 16S ribosomal RNA
Rfam family: Bacterial small subunit ribosomal RNA
Source: RNAcentral
CCUACGGGUGGCAGCAGUGAGGAAUAUUGGUCAAUGGGCGGAAGCCUGAACCAGCCAAGUCGCGUGCAGGAUGACGGCCCUACGGGUUGUAAACUGCUUUUAUACGGGAAUAACGCGCCUUACGUGUAGGGCUUUGCAUGUACCGUAUGAAUAAGGACCGGCUAAUUCCGUUCCAGCCGCCGAGGUAAUACGGAAGGUACGGGCGUUAUCCGGAUUUAUUGGGUUUAAAGGGAGCGUAGGCCGCAUGUCAUGCGUGCAGUGAAAUGUCCGGGCUCAACCCGGGCAUUGCAGCGCGAACUGGCGUGCGUGAGUCCGCGGAAGGCAGGCGGAAUUCGUGGUGUAGGGGUGAAAUGCUUAGAUAUGACGAAGAACCCCGAUUGCGAAGGCAGCUUGCUGCAGCGGAACUGACGCUGAUGCUCGAAAGCGCGGGUAUCGAACAGGAUUAGAUACCCCUGUAGUC